UACAGAGGUCUCAAGCGUUGUUCGGAUUCAUUGGGCGUAAAGGGUGCGUAGGCGGCGCGGUAAGUCGGGUGUGAAAUCUUGGAGCUUAACUCCGAAACUGCAUUCGAUACUGCCGUGCUUGAGGACUGGAGAGGAGACUGGAAUUUACGGUGUAGCGGUGAAAUGCGUAGAUAUCGUAAGGAAGACCAGUGGCGAAGGCGGGUCUCUGGACAGUUCCUGACG
RNAcentral lists this ribosomal RNA (222 nucleotides) under uncultured bacterium. Its description in RNAcentral is "partial 16S ribosomal RNA". It matches the Rfam family "Bacterial small subunit ribosomal RNA", at positions 524 to 745 of the family's 1533-position model. The record is from RNAcentral.